Molecule: long non-coding RNA, 265 nt
Filed under: Elaeis guineensis (African oil palm)
Lineage: Eukaryota; Viridiplantae; Streptophyta; Magnoliopsida; Arecales; Arecaceae
Description: long non-coding RNA (EGUI_LNC069157)
Source: RNAcentral
ACCACACUAUAUGAGAUAUGGUACGGUAAGAAGUCGAGUCUAGAUUAUCUUAAGACUUAGGGAUGUUCGACCUAUGUCAAGAGACAGUGGCUAAUAAACUAGAGAAUAGAUCUGUAAUAGCUCAUUUCAUAGGAUAUCUAAAAGAAUCAAUGGGAUACUACUACUUUCCACAAGAUCAUAAUGUGAUUGUGAGUUGGAAUGUCAUAUUCCUGAAAAAAUAGUUUAUCCAGGAUGGUGGUAGUGGAAGGUUAGUUGAGCUCGAAGA